This 234-nucleotide ribosomal RNA is filed under the name uncultured bacterium. Its description in RNAcentral is "partial 16S ribosomal RNA". It matches the Rfam family "Bacterial small subunit ribosomal RNA", at positions 126 to 353 of the family's 1533-position model. The record is from RNAcentral.
CUGCCCAUGUGCCCGGGAUAACUUCUGGAAACGGAUGCUAAAACCGGAUAGGUAGCAGACAAGCAUUUGACUGCUAUUAAAGUGGCUAAGGCCAUGAACAUGGAUGGACCUGCGGUGCAUUAGCUAGUUGGUGAGGUAACGGCCCACCAAGGCGACGAUGCAUAGCCGGCCUGAGAGGGCGGACGGCCACAUUGGGACUGAGACACGGCCCAAACUCCUACGGGAGGCAGCAUG